Molecule: transfer RNA, 55 nt
Filed under: Laqueus japonicus
Lineage: Eukaryota; Metazoa; Brachiopoda; Rhynchonellata; Terebratulida; Laqueidae
Description: tRNA-Leu
Source: RNAcentral
GCUUGGUUAGUAUAGAUAGUACGAUUGGCUUAGGACUAAUAGGGAAUAUCAAGCU